UAUAAUUCUAAGAAGAGAAAGAGUAAGUAAUAUUUUUGUUCUACAGAAAGUUAGCGGGUGAUGAAAGCUAAUGUGCGAUAUAUAACCGAAGAUCAUCUCAGAGAAGUGAAGCUGAAAUUUUAUGAAAAUUGAGUAAGUUUCAACGGAGUUUCACCGUUAAAAGAAAAGCGUAUUAUUUAGUACGUAUUAGAGUGCUAUAAAAUGAUUUUAAUAUAUUAUCAUAUCAUUUUAUAGAAUUAGGGUGGUAUCGCGAUUUAACCUCGUCCCUUUG
This 271-nucleotide non-coding RNA is filed under the name Clostridium taeniosporum. RNAcentral describes it as "T-box sequence". It matches the Rfam family "T-box leader". From Rfam's summary of the family: Uncharged tRNA acts as the effector for transcription antitermination of genes in the T-box leader family. T-boxes are found upstream of many aminoacyl-tRNA synthetase genes and some amino acid biosynthetic genes usually in Gram-positive bacteria. The record is from RNAcentral. Lineage: Bacteria; Bacillati; Bacillota; Clostridia; Eubacteriales; Clostridiaceae.